RNAcentral lists this ribosomal RNA (521 nucleotides) under uncultured bacterium. Its description in RNAcentral is "bacterial SSU rRNA". It matches the Rfam family "Archaeal small subunit ribosomal RNA", at positions 345 to 866 of the family's 1478-position model. The record is from RNAcentral.
AACCUCCGCAAUGUGAGAAAUCGCGACGGGGGGAUCCCAAGUGCCAUUCUUAACGGGAUGGCUUUUCAUUAGUGUAAAGAGCUUUUGGAAUAAGGGCUGGGCAAGACCGGUGCCAGCCACCGCGGUAACACCGGCAGCUCUAGUGGUAGCAGUUUUUAUUGGGCCUAAAGCGUCCGUAGCCGGUUUAAUAAGUCUCUGGUGAAAUCCUGUAGCUUAACUGUGGGAAUUGCUGGAGAUACUAUUAGACUUGAGACCGGGAGAGGUUAGAGGUACUCCCAGGGUAGAGGUGAAAUUCUGUAAUCCUGGGAGGACCGCCUGUUGCGAAGGCGUCUAACUGGAACGGUUCUGACGGUGAGGGACGAAAGUUAGGGGCGCGAACCGGAUUAGAUACCCGGGUAGUCCUAACUGUAAACGAUGCGGACUUGGUGUUGGGGUGGUUUUGAGCUGCUCCAGUGCCGAAGGGAAGCUGUUAAGUCCGCCGCCUGGGAAGUACGGUCGCAAGACUGAAACUUAAAGGAAGU